Molecule: long non-coding RNA, 1592 nt
Organism: Bos taurus (domestic cattle)
Lineage: Eukaryota; Metazoa; Chordata; Mammalia; Artiodactyla; Bovidae
Source: Ensembl
UCUCUAGAUCCACAGAAUUAGAAACUCUGGGGGUGCUCCUGCUGUUCCCAUUUCAGAGAAGUUUCCGUUCUCCCUUCACUGGACAGUUUCCUGCUCACCUCCCACCUGAGAUGAAACAUGCUUUCUCUGUGGAGAGUAUGAGAGGAGACCAAGAAUUGCUGAAAUGAGGGAACAGGAACAGUCAACAGCCAGGGGUCUGCUCCUUUCCCUCUCCUGCAGAGAUAAAGCCAGCAGAAGGAAGCCAUGUCUCUUCCCUCCUCACCCAGGCAGGGUCACUGCCAUGGCCCCUGAGCCAAAGUGCCGCCCUGCCCCACUGCCAGCCUCUCCACUCCUGCAACAAGGGGGCUCAGCAGGGCCAGCGGGAGCCCGCCUGCAGACACACGUGAAUGGGCACCUCCCGUAGAGCCCUGCUCGUUUCAGCUGUCUGUCGGCCACGUCCGGUGACCUCCUGGAUGGGGGCUUCCCCCAGAGGCACCAGCCUCUCUGGCAUGCGUGCUCCCACCCUGCUCCUCACAGCCCCUCACUGAGCCUAUUGGGGCCCAAGCAAGGUCAGCUCCACGACACCCACAUCCGAUCAGGGUACCCCCGCCACCCCCAGAGCUACAGAGUGCUUCCAGAACCACCAGUUGGUGAUCUUCAAGCAACUUGAAUAGAGAGAAAAAAAAACCCCCCACGUGUUGGUUGAAGUUAAAUGGACCUCUUUGCACUAAAUCAAUCACACUUAGCUGUGUGCCUUCCCACUGUUUCAGUCAUGCAGUAGCUCAGAGCAGAUUUCCCUCCUCAAGGAGGUAACGGUGACUGGUCCCACUUUCCAGAUGGGACAGGAAGACAGAUGCUGGUAAGGCUGUGGGCAGAUGACAGGAUGGCUUUCUGGUAAUGCAAGAGUGGGGAUGCACAUGCAGGGUCCACAGCCGGAGGCAGCACGGCCUGGAAGAAGCCCAGGAGGGGGACGCAAGCUGAAUUCUGAGAGGGCUCCAGGAGCGGAGUCUGACAGGAGCAGUGCCAGGAGAGGAAGCCUUCCAACCCAGGGCCGGUUUGUAUUGUCCGCAGGACAGAAAAUAGACCAUUCUCUGUGUCCUUCAUGACUUCACCGAGGGAAGAAUGCGAGUCUACUCUGUAUCCUUCAUGACUUCACCAAGGGAAGAAUGCGAGUCUAUAGGAACACCAGAGAGACACAAAUCUGCACACUCAUGGGUAUUUCUGUCUGCUGCGUGUAUGCCCUGCUGCCUGGGGCCUGCAUGGAGGAGGAGGGAUACUCUGCCACCUGACAGAAGACAGUUCUCUCAAAGCCCACUGUAAACCCCCAAAUGUGAGGUUCUUUAAGUUCACUUUCCCUGAGGGCCCCAGGAACGCACGCUUUUACUCUCCGAGUGCACACAUCAAAGCACAUGCUUGUCAACACAACUUUUCUCCCCAACCCUAGAGACCAACCAUCACACCCCCUUCCAGAAGUCUGCGGUUGGCAGUGGUUCUGACUGGGACCCCAACCUUCACAGCUGCUGGGCAGGGCGGGGCUGGACCCCAGGCUGCUGUGACCGGAAACCCAGCCUGCUCUCUCAGCCAUCCCCCUCCCGUCACCUACAGCCCACAGG